GACGAACGCUGGCGGCGUGCUUAACACAUGCAAGUCGAACGGAAAGGCCCUGCUUUUGUGGGGUGCUCGAGUGGCGAACGGGUGAGUAACACGUGAGUAACCUGCCCUUGACUUUGGGAUAACUUCAGGAAACUGGGGCUAAUACCGGAUAGGAGCUCCUGCUGCAUGGUGGGGGUUGGAAAGUUUCGGCGGUUGGGGAUGGACUCGCGGCUUAUCAGCUUGAUGGUGGGGUAGUGGCUUACCAAGGCUUUGACGGGUAGCCGGCCUGAGAGGGUGACCGGCCACAUUGGGACUGAGAUACGGCCCAGACUCCUACGGGAGGCAGCAGUGGGGAAUAUUGCACAAUGGGCGGAAGCCUGAUGCAGCAACGCCGCGUGCGGGAUGACGGCCUUCGGGUUGUAAACCGCUUUCGCCUGUGACGAAGCGUGAGUGACGGUAAUGGGUAAAGAAGCACCGGCUAGCUACGUG
Molecule: ribosomal RNA, 468 nt
Filed under: uncultured bacterium
Lineage: Bacteria
Description: partial 16S ribosomal RNA
Rfam family: Bacterial small subunit ribosomal RNA
Source: RNAcentral